This is a long non-coding RNA of Cavia porcellus (domestic guinea pig), 527 nucleotides long. RefSeq lists it as uncharacterized. Lineage: Eukaryota; Metazoa; Chordata; Mammalia; Rodentia; Caviidae. The record is from RefSeq and is a predicted model, not a curated record. The transcript is spliced from 3 exons.
UUCUGAAUCACUUCAGGACAUCCAGAGAGCAGCACAAUUCACUGAGACUUCCAGAAUUGCUUUAGAAAGUGACCAGAAAGGUGUCAGGAACUGUGCCUCAGCACCAAGAAAAGGUGGCUAACAGGAUGGCACACAGACCCGCCCAUGAAAGAGAAAUCCCUCCAGGAGAAAGAUGAACAGGGAAUCAGUCAAACCCUUUCCACGGUUUGUGCUGCAAGGAUGGGUUACCACAGAAAGGCCUCAGUAACAGUCCAUGGGUAAGCAAUUAUUUCUGCUGAAUAAGCUCAUAUUUUUGAGACACUGUUCCCUGGAGAAUGUCACUUAAGCUGAGUAAUCCUCUAGGUAUGAAAUAGAAAUUUUUCAGAAUGUAAAUGUGUCCCAUGAUAGAAGAAAUCUCACAGACCUCACUAGGAGAACUCAGCUUUUGGUCUGUGCCAGAAGAUCUUAUGUCUAACACAAUCCUAUGUCCCUGUGGAGCUGCCCUUGAAGUCCUUGGAGUCCAGCCUAGUUUGUCUAUACCUCUUGGU